ACCAUAUCUCUGGGGUAGGGUGAGGCUCACUGAGUGGACGAAUCCGGUGAGAUCCCGGAACUGUCGCGCAACCGUGAUCCCGAUGCUGUCGGGGAGUCGGACCGCCGCUCGGUGAAAGGUAAC
Molecule: non-coding RNA, 123 nt
Organism: Tessaracoccus flavus
Lineage: Bacteria; Bacillati; Actinomycetota; Actinomycetes; Propionibacteriales; Propionibacteriaceae
Source: Rfam